Molecule: ribosomal RNA, 478 nt
Filed under: uncultured Roseobacter sp.
Lineage: Bacteria; Pseudomonadati; Pseudomonadota; Alphaproteobacteria; Rhodobacterales; Roseobacteraceae
Description: SSU rRNA
Rfam family: Bacterial small subunit ribosomal RNA
Source: RNAcentral
GGUAAUACGGAGGGGGUUAGCGUUGUUCGGAAUUACUGGGCGUAAAGCGUACGUAGGCGGAUUAAUAAGUUAGAGGUGAAAUCCCAGGGCUCAACCCUGGAACUGCCUUUAAAACUGUUAGUCUUGAGAUCGAGAGAGGUGAGUGGAAUUCCAAGUGUAGAGGUGAAAUUCGUAGAUAUUUGGAGGAACACCAGUGGCGAAGGCGGCUCACUGGCUCGAUACUGACGCUGAGGUACGAAAGUGUGGGGAGCAAACAGGAUUAGAUACCCUGGUAGUCCACACCGUAAACGAUGAAUGCCAGACGUCAGCAAGCAUGCUUGUUGGUGUCACACCUAACGGAUUAAGCAUUCCGCCUGGGGAGUACGGUCGCAAGAUUAAAACUCAAAGGAAUUGACGGGGGCCCGCACAAGCGGUGGAGCAUGUGGUUUAAUUCGACGCAACGCGCAGAACCUUACCAACCCUUUGACAUACUUGUCGC